AAAUUGAAGAGUUUGAUCAUGGCUCAGAUUGAACGCUGGCGGCAGGCCUAACACAUGCAAGUCGAACGGUAACAGGAAGCAGCUUGCUGCUUCGCUGACGAGUGGCGGACGGGUGAGUAAUGUCUGGGAAACUGCCUGAUGGAGGGGGAUAACUACUGGAAACGGUAGCUAAUACCGCAUAAUGUCGCAAGACCAAAGAGGGGGACCUUCGGGCCUCUUGCCAUCGGAUGUGCCCAGAUGGGAUUAGCUUGUUGGUGGGGUAACGGCUCACCAAGGCGACGAUCCCUAGCUGGUCUGAGAGGAUGACCAGCCACACUGGAACUGAGACACGGUCCAGACUCCUACGGGAGGCAGCAGUGGGGAAUAUUGCACAAUGGGCGCAAGCCUGAUGCAGCCAUGCCGCGUGUAUGAAGAAGGCCUUCGGGUUGUAAAGUACUUUCAGCGGGGAGGAAGGGAGUAAAGUUAAUACCUUUGCUCAUUGACGUUACCCGCAGAAGAAGCACCGGCUAACUCCGUGCCAGCAGCCGCGGUAAUACGGAGGGUGCAAGCGUUAAUCGGAAUUACUGGGCGUAAAGCGCACGCAGGCGGUUUGUUAAGUCAGAUGUGAAAUCCCCGGGCUCAACCUGGGAACUGCAUCUGAUACUGGCAAGCUUGAGUCUCGUAGAGGGGGGGUAGAAUUCCAGGUGUAGCGGUGAAAUGCGUAGAGAUCUGGAGGAAUACCGGUGGCGAAGGCGGCCCCCUGGACGAAGACUGACGCUCAGGUGCGAAAGCGUGGGGAGCAAACAGGAUUAGAUACCCUGGUAGUCCACGCCGUAAACGAUGUCGACUUGGAGGUUGUGCCCUUGAGGCGUGGCUUCCGGAGCUAACGCGUUAAGUCGACCGCCUGGGGAGUACGGCCGCAAGGUUAAAACUCAAAUGAAUUGACGGGGGCCCGCACAAGCGGUGGAGCAUGUGGUUUAAUUCGAUGCAACGCGAAGAACCUUACCUGGUCUUGACAUCCACAGAACUUUCCAGAGAUGGAUUGGUGCCUUCGGGAACUGUGAGACAGGUGCUGCAUGGCUGUCGUCAGCUCGUGUUGUGAAAUGUUGGGUUAAGUCCCGCAACGAGCGCAACCCUUAUCCUUUGUUGCCAGCGGUCCGGCCGGGAACUCAAAGGAGACUGCCAGUGAUAAACUGGAGGAAGGUGGGGAUGACGUCAAGUCAUCAUGGCCCUUACGACCAGGGCUACACACGUGCUACAAUGGCGCAUACAAAGAGAAGCGACCUCGCGAGAGCAAGCGGACCUCAUAAAGUGCGUCGUAGUCCGGAUUGGAGUCUGCAACUCGACUCCAUGAAGUCGGAAUCGCUAGUAAUCGUGGAUCAGAAUGCCACGGUGAAUACGUUCCCGGGCCUUGUACACACCGCCCGUCACACCAUGGGAGUGGGUUGCAAAAGAAGUAGGUAGCUUAACCUUCGGGAGGGCGCUUACCACUUUGUGAUUCAUGACUGGGGUGAAGUCGUAACAAGGUAACCGUAGGGGAACCUGCGGUUGGAUCACCUCCUUACCUUAAAGAAGC
Molecule: ribosomal RNA, 1555 nt
Filed under: Shigella sonnei
Lineage: Bacteria; Pseudomonadati; Pseudomonadota; Gammaproteobacteria; Enterobacterales; Enterobacteriaceae
Description: bacterial SSU rRNA
Rfam family: Bacterial small subunit ribosomal RNA
Source: RNAcentral